AAUUUUAAAUAUUCUUAUUGGUUAUGACUAAAAAAUAUUUAAUACAUUUAAAAUAUUAAUACAUUUACAUGUUAAUAAAAAGCACAAGAAAAUAAUAGACAAGUAAAAUGUCUUUCCCCCUCCAAACUUUCAGUCUCCUUCUACCUCUAGAUGAAUAAACCUGUUAUCGGUUUGUUGUGGAUACUUUAGAGAUAUUAUUUGCACUUAACUAUUGGCCUACAAGGGCCUCAACUAUUUCAAGGCCCUUUGAUGAUUACGUCUUUUGAGUUUUAUUUGCUAAGAACACAUGCUUUUUAAAAGAAUAUUUCCUAAUAGUGAAAGUAAUAUGGAUGCCUGGAGAGGGUAAUGCUAAUGAGAAAAUACAAAAUGGGGAAAUUAUUCACCUGAAUAAACCUGGAGAGUUUACAAGUAAAGCUUCACUGGUCACUGCAGGGUUUAAAGGAAGUUUCCACUUUACAAUGUAAAUAUGUUGUGGUCGUCUUAGUUCUUAGACUAAUUUGCUUCUUUCUGGUGGGGAGGAUAGCAAUGUUGAGAAAACACUGACUAAACCGAAAAUCGGCUCCAUUUAAAUGUGAAGCUGCGUUCUAAACACAAGCAUAGUCUGCUGAAGGGCUCUGAACAUUAAGCUGCAUGCCUUGCUGAGUUUUAUUCCAAAUAGACAACAGCAGAUGGUAACAAUGCACUUCUCAUAGAUGGUAGGAGGGAGGCAGUCUUGUUUCAAGUAAUACUAUUUCUGGGCGAUAAUCCAAAAUGUGCAGUAGGCAGAAGUUAAAAGGAAGCGCUUGCUUUUAGGUUUUAAAAAUAUAUCCCUUAAUCCUGGGUGAUGAUUGACAAUCAUGAUUUAGAGUAUGAGGGGCCGCUCUUUAAUCCGGCAAGUUUGAUGUUAUUUGCGUAUCUAGUAGGGCUUUUAUUCAACUAAAACUAAGUGGAAGCCUGUGCAAUUGAUGCCGCAUUUCAGAAUUGAUUCUUGGCCUGGUACUCUAUUUACAGAUUAGUAAGUACACAGGAUCUGUCCUCCUCCUCAUCUUUUUGAAAUUUAAAGGUUCUAAAAGGCACAUUUACAAUUAAAAUAUUUCUUGCUGUGUAAGAGUAUGACUAGGAGAUGACUUUUUUCUGUAUAAUUUAAUUUCUUGAGAAAAGAAGCAGUCUAUAAGAUUAUAUUAAUCCUGAUUUGAUUAUCAAACUAUGAUAUUAGCUAUUGGUAUUUAUAAAUGAUUAAAAUGUUGUCAUUAUUGACUUCAUGUGGUUUGUUUGUUAUAAGUUCUUUGGAGAAAUUUUAAUGAAUUACCUCCAAGUCUCUUGCUCCUAUUAGGUUUCUAGCAAAGCUUUUCUAAGGAAUAGAUCAAUGUUAAGCCAUUAUAUUACAAUUGUUUUAUCAGCUGUGACAAUAAUUUGAUCACACAUUAAAAUAAAAUUAGUUAAAUCAUAAACUCCAAAACAAGAUAUCAUUAAGAAAGGAAAAUAUACAGGAAUGAAAGUUAACAGACAAAUUUUACAGCAAUUAACAGGAGUGAUUUUUUUUUUUUUUUUGAGGCACUUAAGCUCUGCGUUCAAUGUCUUUGUCACAGUUCCAUUUGACAAAGCGAAAUAGACUACAUGUGAAGCCCAAGUGAUACAGUGUCUUUCCUGUAUUCUCAUGAUGUUUUAAAUUAUGCAGUUUUUGGAAAAUGUUUAAGAAGUUAAAUGCAUUCAUUACAGAAAAAUUUGAAAAAUACAGAAAAGUAUGAAAAGAAAAUAAACAUUACCUUCAUUCCCAACAGUCACUAUUGUGAAUCGUCUUCUAUUUAUUUUUCUUAUAUUUUGUUGCAAAUAUUUAGAUUUCAGGGCUAAAAUGUACUUCCCAGGAGACGUCCUGGCUGCUAGGAGUGUGUAGAAGCAUUCAAAAUGGGUUCCUCUGGAGUUGACGUGAGUGACACAACCUGCUACAGGUUUGGUCUGUGUUUUGUAAGCUGCGUCAGCAGAGCUUUCUAUUAAAACCCCAGUGAUGGGAUCCUUUGUGUUUAGAAUAUACUCUAACCUAAUAAGUGCAUGUUGAUAAUACCUCUUUCUGUUAACAUUUCAAAAGCCCGUUUUGCUGUAGUAUCAUGCAUUUGAUAUUUAAAAGCUAAUAAAUCCAAGUGAUAGUAAGAAAAUGUUAUUGAUAUAUUCAUCGCAAAAUGUUCUUCAAACCAAAUUUUGUUUUUGCAUUUGUACUUAUAGUUUUGUGCCAGUAAAUGACUGGGUGAUUGCUACAGUGAAAACACUGCUUGCCUCAGCUUUGCUUAAUUAAUUCAUAAUGACAACAUAGGUAAUUCAUUAAAUCUUAAUGAAGAUUGGAUAUAGAGGAGUAUAGUAGUUGGAUCUAAAUCUACAGCUCAAAAAUCAAAUCCCAACCCCUUAGACUGCCAAAUCCAGAGAAAAGUCAAGGCCCUUUCUCUCCAGCCAGCGAUGGCCAUCAUCCUAGAAACCUACACUGUUGCAUGGUUUUUCCUUUGCCUAGAAUGCUCUUCUCCUACCUACUUCCCACCCUCAGGUCUCACACUGCAGCUCUUCCUUCCAGAAACUGCUCAAGUGUCUCCAUGAAGCUUUUGGCUACUACCCCCUCCCCAAGGUCCUGGCCCCUUCCUCUCCACUGCCAGGGCACUACACACACACACACACACACACACACACACACACACACCCCUCCACACAGCUCUCAUCACCUCUGGUUUCCAUGAUUUGUUUACUGUCUGUCUCCUCCUUACCUGUGAGCUCUCACAGUCUAGCACAGCAUUAAAAAAUGGUUUGUUGACUGAAUGACUUACUAAAAUAGAUGAAUAAACAAACGGAUGGUUGAAUUUGCUCAUGAGAUAAGGGUACCCACCACCCAGCAUGUGUCUAGCACAUAGUACACAUAGGAGCAAUGACCAUCUCUGAUGCUAUUACUUUUACUGAAUAGUUACCAGACAUUGCAUUCAGUGCUUUAAUGAAUUACUCAUUUAUGGUCAUCUUAUUGCUAUCUAUAUUUUACAGAAGAGGUAACAACCAAGAGCUCACAGGGUGGGCACUCAAACCCAUGCUGUCUUAUUCCAAAGCUUAGGUACUUGGCAAUAUUAAACAUUCUACUGCCUUUUUCUAUAGGAGGCAGUCAAUACUUGAAUGAAUGAGUGAUGAACGCUUCCCCUCUAUUAAAGAAGCUAUGGUAUCCUCUUGGAUUGCUCUUUCUGCCACUCUCGAAGCCUAACUCUCAGUAAGCAGGCCUCUGUUUCAAAGGCAAGAAGAAAGGAGUGCAAUGAGGAACCUGAGGCACAGAAUAGGCAAAUGGCUUGUCCAAGAUAACACAGCAAGACAGCAGUGGAGAUGAGAUGAGAGUAACUGCUUGCAAUUAGCCCAAAUCCUUUUCCACCUGUACUUUGAAGCAAUGAAUGUCAGGUAGCAUGUCAGUUAUAUAUCUGAGAUGCUGACCAUUUUUUUCUCCUCCCCCACACAAAGAAGUAGUCCAAACAAUGGUCUAGCAUUAAUAAAAACAGAAACAUUUUGUUAAAAUAACAAAUGUGAAUUGGACUCAAAAGGUGACAGAUUUUUAUGUAUGUGCCCAAAGUUUCAGAGAUGGUUUUAUUCAUGGCCAUGAGUCCAGCACAUGCUUUUGUAAUUCCCAAGCUCUGCUUCUUCAACCCCAGUGUGCUUCAACCUCAAGAAGUCCCCCUUGUUACCUUCUUUAAGUUCAUAGGUAAAGCUGUGUUUCAUUUUGUUUACUGAAAAUGUUUUGAAAUUAUUUUGUGUCUAGGAGAGAUUGGAAUGGAUUGGAAAACAUUAACCUGUCUCAUUAUCACAUAGCCAAAUGCUAUUUAAAUGAGCAAUUAUUUAAAGUAGUCCAAAGCAGUAUUUUUUUUCCUCUAAGGAAGAAUCAAUUUUAUCACUAUUUAUUUCCCCAAUUCUUUUAUCUUCACCUUCAAAGAAAUGGAGAUUUAUAUAUUUUUUUAAGUUGAAGUCUCACUCUGUCAUCCAGGCUGGAAU
Macaca mulatta (Rhesus monkey) is the source of this 3978-nucleotide non-coding RNA. Lineage: Eukaryota; Metazoa; Chordata; Mammalia; Primates; Cercopithecidae. The record is from RefSeq and is a predicted model, not a curated record.